RNAcentral lists this ribosomal RNA (377 nucleotides) under uncultured eukaryote. RNAcentral's name for it is "partial 18S ribosomal RNA". It matches the Rfam family "Eukaryotic small subunit ribosomal RNA", at positions 592 to 976 of the family's 1831-position model. The record is from RNAcentral.
CAAUAGCGUAUAUUUAAGUUGCUGCAGUUAAAAAGCUCGUAGUUGGAUUUCGGGUGGGAAUGGCCGGUCCGCCGUUUCGGUGUGCACUUGCUACGCCCACCUUGCUGCCGGGGACGUGCUCUUGAGUUCACGCUCGGGACACGGAGUCGGCGAGGUUACUUUGAGUAAAUUAGAGUGUUCAAAGCAGGCCUACGCUCUGAAUACAUUAGCAUGGAAUAACACGAUAGGACUCUGGCCUAUCUUGUUGGUCUGUAGGACCGGAGUAAUGAUCAAGAGGGACAGUCGGGGGCAUUCGUAUUUCAUUGUCAGAGGUGAAAUUCUUGGAUUUAUGAAAGACGAACUACUGCGAAAGCAUUUGCCAAGGAUGUUUUCAUUAA